ACUCGAGUGGCGAACGGGUGAGUAACACGUGGGUGAUCUGCCCUGCACUUCGGGAUAAGCCUGGGAAACUGGGUCUAAUACCGGAUAUGACCACAUGAUGCAUGUUGUGUGGUGGAAAGCUUUUGCGUGUUGGGAUGGGCCCGCGGCCUAUCAGCUUGUUGGUGGGGUCACGGCCUACCAAGGCGACGACGGGUAGCCGGCCUGAGAGGGUGACCGGCCACACUGGGACUGAGAUACGGCCCAGACUCCUACGGGAGGCAGCAGUGGGGAAUAUUGCACAAUGGGCGCAAGCCUGAUGCAGCGACGCCGCGUGAGGGACGACGGCCUUCGGGUUGUAAACCUCUUUCAGCACAGACGAAGCGCAAGUGACGGUAUGUGCAGAAGAAGGACCGGCCAACUACGUGCCAGCAGCCGCGGUAAUACGUAGGGUCCGAGCGUUGUCCGGAAUUACUGGGCGUAAAGAGCUCGUAGGUGGUUUGUCGCGUUGUUCGUGAAAACUCACAGCUCAACUGUGGGCGUGCGGGCGAUACGGGCAGACUAGAGUACUGCAGGGGAGACUGGAAUUCCUGGUGUAGCGGUGGAAUGCGCAGAUAUCAGGAGGAACACCGGUGGCGAAGGCGGGUCUCUGGGCAGUAACUGACGCUGAGGAGCGAAAGCGUGGGGAGCGAACAGGAUUAGAUACCCUGGUAGUCCACGCCGUAAACGGUGGGUACUAGGUGUGGGUUUCCUUCCUUGGGAUCCGUGCCGUAGCUAACGCAUUAAGUACCCCGCCUGGGGAGUACGGCCGCAAGGCUAAAACUCAAAGAAAUUGACGGGGGCCCGCACAAGCGGCGGAGCAUGUGGAUUAAUUCGAUGCAACGCGAAGAACCUUACCUGGGUUUGACAUGCACAGGACGCUGGUAGAGAUAUCAGUUCCCUUGUGGCCUGUGUGCAGGUGGUGCAUGGCUGUC
Molecule: ribosomal RNA, 950 nt
Filed under: Mycolicibacterium hodleri
Lineage: Bacteria; Bacillati; Actinomycetota; Actinomycetes; Mycobacteriales; Mycobacteriaceae
Description: bacterial SSU rRNA
Rfam family: Bacterial small subunit ribosomal RNA
Source: RNAcentral